This 253-nucleotide ribosomal RNA is filed under the name uncultured bacterium. RNAcentral's name for it is "partial 16S ribosomal RNA". It matches the Rfam family "Bacterial small subunit ribosomal RNA", at positions 524 to 776 of the family's 1533-position model. The record is from RNAcentral.
UACGUAGGGUGCGAGCGUUAAUCGGAAUUACUGGGCGUAAAGCGUGCGCAGGCGGUGCUGUAAGACCGAUGUGAAGUCCCCGGGCUUAACCUGGGAACUGCAUUGGUGACUGCAGCGCUGGAGUAUGGCAGAGGGGGGUGGAAUUCCACGUGUAGCAGUGAAAUGCGUAGAGAUCCGGAAGAACACCAGUGGCGAAGGCGGCCCGCUGGGCAGUGGCUGACGCUGAGGCGCGACAGCGUGGGGAGCAAACAGG